This 112-nucleotide microRNA precursor is filed under the name Pongo pygmaeus (Bornean orangutan). RNAcentral describes it as "microRNA ppy-mir-3661 precursor". The stretch from base 7 to 90 matches the Rfam family "mir-3661 microRNA precursor family". RNAcentral also lists the same sequence under 1 other name. The record is from miRBase by way of RNAcentral. Lineage: Eukaryota; Metazoa; Chordata; Mammalia; Primates; Hominidae.
CACCUUCUCGCAGAGGCUCUUGACCUGGGACUCGGAUAGCUGCUUGCACUCGUUCAGCUGCUCGAUCCACUGGUCAAGCUCCUUGGUGAACACCUUCUCGUCCAUGAUGCCA